This is a non-coding RNA of Podarcis lilfordi (Lilford's wall lizard), 75 nucleotides long. Lineage: Eukaryota; Metazoa; Chordata; Lepidosauria; Squamata; Lacertidae. The record is from the annotation of a GenBank genome assembly.
ACCAACAUAGCUCAGUUGGUACUGCUUCUGAGACUCUUCAUCUCAGGGUCGUGGGUUCAAGUCCCACGCUGGGCA